Ostrea edulis (European flat oyster) is the source of this 1804-nucleotide long non-coding RNA. RefSeq lists it as uncharacterized. NCBI's taxonomy places the organism in Eukaryota, Metazoa, Mollusca, Bivalvia, Ostreida, Ostreidae. The transcript is spliced from 3 exons. The record is from RefSeq and is a predicted model, not a curated record.
GUUUUCACACGGACAUCACAAAAUUUUAAAAAGUUGUCGUUUUUUAACACAUGAAUUGCUCGGCUCAGUUUUUUCUUUUAUAAAAAAAAACCUGCAAGCAGUUCUAAGCAGACGUCAAGUGUAAACAAAGUAUGUGACACAAGCAAUGACAACGAGAUCGAAGGAAGUUAACGAUUAAAAUCCAAUACUGAGAAACUGAAUAUGCAUAGAGGUGGACGAAAGGUAUAUCAAUGUGUUUCAUGUGGUAGAAGAACAAAAGCUGACCAAAGGCGAUUCAUUACUAGAUCUUCAUACGAAAGUUACAGAGUGUACCUAGCCAUCACCACCUGUCAAGAAAAAGACGCAACGUGUACCAACUGCUAUUCCAAGUUUUACAGAGCAAGUCGUGUUCGUAAUUCAGUUGACAAAACUACAGAUUGUGUUUCAAAUUCAUUGUAUGACAGUGAUCCAAAUUAUGAACCACCAGUUAAAACAAGAAAGACAUUGUGCGUGAAAAGCCCAAAAGUGAUUCCUCUUCCAAUACAGUCUUCUGGGAAGAGCCAUUCCAGUUGUGUAAUUUGCAAGGAAGUUGUUUGAAGUUGCUAACAGUGUCUACAGAUAUAAGACACAGAAUAUUUAUUAGGAUAGGUCACAUGUUACUGCCUUGCCUGGAACAAGGUGCUGCCAGAUACAUAUGACAUCAGAUUUCUCCCUAAGGGAAGAUGCGAUCAAGUUUCUGGCAACUGCUUCCACUGAAUGUCAAACCCUUUUCAAUAAAAGUGACAUAUAUUUAAGAAAUAAUAUAUCAUUUUUGAAUGUUGUUGGGAUAUGACAUGAAGUUGAUCACGUGAUCAAAUCCUAUAACGCCCGAAGGGCGUUAUAGUAGAUUUGAUCACGUACCAACGUCAUGUCAUAUCCCAAUAACAUUAAAAAAUGAUAUCUUAUUUCUUAUAUUUAUAUUUUCUAUUUUGAUUUGUGUUCUUACCGAGCUUCCAUGAUUAUGUAGCAGAUGACCAAAAUAACGAUCGUAGAACACAAAAUAUAGUUCGUAAGAGUUUUAUCGAAUAAAAAAUUAGGAACAACAUCAAAGAGAAUAUAAGAUAUAGACAUUUAAUUGAAAAUGUUAAAAAAAGACGAAACAUGUGUAAAAAUAAAGGUAAUUUAGAGCGUAAAGUUAACUGAAAUGACAAGAAGAGCGGAGUAAACGACAUCCUGGUGUGAUUUGGUCGCGAUCAGCGAUGGAGAAACUGGCGUCGGUCUAGCUUACUAAGUUGAAAACGCAAUUGUUGAUCACAGAUUUCGACAGAAAUUCAAAGGAUCUGAGAGAAUUGAUGGUGGAUAUGAUGGGCCAAGUUAACGUUAAGCUCUUAGUCGGGUUUUUGGAAAGAAACAACGGUAUGUUCAACGUUAGAACUCGCGGUUGUAGCUAUGCAGGAGACGAUUCAAGACAGUAGGACAUAUUUAGACCAAGUGCAGGAUUUUAAUGUCAGAAGACUCGCACCGGUACCCUGAUAUGUACAUGCAAAUUUUUCGAGCCUCGAAACCAGCCUCGCUUAUAAUCAUGCCGAGUCAUAUCCGUGAUGGAAGUUGCCAGGAAACAACAGGUUAACUUAUCAUCAUGAAGUAAAUAAAUGUAGGCUUAUAACUCUGCCUACAUGUUUUCGCUUCCAAUAUCAUAUAACUUUAUUUUAUAAAUUCGCCAUGCAGAAGUUGCAGAUGGUAUUUAAAACUGUAUAAAAUGAAACAACAGAAGGAUAUGUUUAAUGUUUCUCUUUUAUAAAUUGAUGAAAUUCUUAUUUUUUACAAAAUAAACUGUAUAAAUAUC